RNAcentral lists this unclassified non-coding RNA (567 nucleotides) under Hevea brasiliensis (rubber tree). Lineage: Eukaryota; Viridiplantae; Streptophyta; Magnoliopsida; Malpighiales; Euphorbiaceae. The record is from RNAcentral.
UGUUACAAUAUUUACAUCCUUUGGCAAUUCGACAUGGUAAACCAAUGGCGUCAGCUAGAACUUUAAAUAGCAAAGCUCGAUGCCUGCAAAGGCCAACAGACAGGCUACCAAUGGGAAGCACAGUGGAUCCUAGACAAUCCUUCAGCUCAUAACUACACUCCUUCCACAAAGGAACCAACUCAUCUUCUCCGGCAGAAGUUGCGCCCCCCAUAUGACUGCAGACCAGCUGAGCAAGCUGAUCAACAACUUCUUUUGUUGUGCCACAAGUAGGAGAGAGACUAUGGAUCCGAUUCUGCAGUUCUUUCAAGCUUGGAUCCGUACGCCGAUCAAUCAAAAUCACUUCAACUGAUGGUACUACAGAGGGAUCAACAGCUCUCAUUGAUUCAAUAGAUGGAACCCGGGCAUUUUCUUGUAGAUCUGAGCAGACAAUCCAGACAUAUGGAUCCAUCCCAUGGAUCAAGUAAAAUCCAUCAGGCACUUUGUCAAAGUACGACAAGCAUCCAUUUACCCAGAAUCGAUGGGAAAGGGUCUCCGCCGAAGCAGCUGAAGCUGAAGCACGGGAUGCGG